AUUAAACGCCGGCGGCAUGCCUUACACAUGCAAGUCGAACGGUAGCGCGGGGCAACCUGGCGACGAGUGGCGAACGGGUGAGUAAAGCAUCGGAACGUGCCCUGGAAUGGGGGAUAACGUAGCGAAAGUUACGCUAAUACCGCAUAUUCUGUGAGCAGGAAAGCAGGGGAUCGCAAGACCUUGCGUUCUGGGAGCGGCCGAUGUCGGAUUAGCUAGUUGGUGGGGUAAAAGCCUACCAAGGCGACGAUCCGUAGCGGGUCUGAGAGGAUGAUCCGCCACACUGGGACUGAGACACGGCCCAGACUCCUACGGGAGGCAGCAGUGGGGAAUUUUGGACAAUGGGCGGAAGCCUGAUCCAGCCAUGCCGCGUGAGUGAAGAAGGCCUCGG
Molecule: ribosomal RNA, 388 nt
Filed under: uncultured bacterium
Lineage: Bacteria
Description: bacterial SSU rRNA
Rfam family: Bacterial small subunit ribosomal RNA
Source: RNAcentral